Non-coding RNA from Cinara cedri, 631 nucleotides. The record is from the annotation of a GenBank genome assembly. NCBI's taxonomy places the organism in Eukaryota, Metazoa, Arthropoda, Insecta, Hemiptera, Aphididae.
AAUCAUUCAACGGUCGACGACAUUAUAGUUAUACACCAAUUUAAAUAUAAUAAUAAUGUACCAAAUAAUAAAAUCUCUUAUCGUUUACCAACUACCAAAAUCGUAAAUAUUUUGUCGGACUUUAGGUACGAAGCGGUUGAUAAAAAAAUAGCCUAAUUUGAAAUAUUUCGUACGGUGGGAAGGCUAUCAAUGUUUUAUUGGUGGUAAGUUUGGCAGGUGUAACGGAGUAAAAAAUAAAUCAUUCCAAACAAAAAUACCAUUUGUGAACUGACCGCAUUAGACUGCAGUAUGAUGUUUGUUUUAUAGUCCAUUUUCUCUAUUUGUUGUAGCCUAGAUAUUCAUACAAUUAAAAGCUAUAUAAAUAUUUAAAUUUUUAUUCGUUUUGUGUUUUUAAAAAACAGUUAUCUAUACGGGAAAACGUUUCAAUACCAAACGAAAAAUAACUCUGAACAUAAGUCAUAUUUUUCUCUUAUUUACAUGGUAACCAGAAAAUCAACAAAAAUUGUAUAAACGAUUGACAGUUAUUCCCAACUAUUAUAAAAUAUCCUUGAAAAAUGAAAAAAAAAAAAAAAAAAAAAAAAAAUGAUAUUUUCAAUUCACCAACACGAUCUAAAAUGAAAUAAAAAAAGGU